This 276-nucleotide ribosomal RNA is filed under the name uncultured bacterium. RNAcentral's name for it is "partial 16S ribosomal RNA". It matches the Rfam family "Bacterial small subunit ribosomal RNA", at positions 337 to 630 of the family's 1533-position model. The record is from RNAcentral.
GCCUACGGGGCGCAGCAGUGGGGAAUAUUGCACAAUGGGGGGAACCCUGAUGCAGCGACGCCGCGUGAGUGAAGAAGUAUUUCGGUAUGUAAAGCUCUAUCAGCAGGGAAGAAAAUGACGGUACCUGACUAAGAAGCCCCGGCUAACUACGUGCCAGCAGCCGCGGUAAUACGUAGGGGGCAAGCGUUAUCCGGAUUUACUGGGUGUAAAGGGAGCGCAGACGGCUGUGCAAGUCUGGAGUGAAAGGCGGGGGCCCAACCCCCAGACUGCUCUGGA